AAAAAUGAGAGUUUGAUCCUGGCUCAGGACGAACGCUGGCGGCGUGCCUAAUACAUGCAAGUCGAGCGAGCGAGAUGAACGGAAUACUUCGGUAGGAAGUUCAGAUUGCGAGCGGCGGAUGGGUGAGUAACACGUAGGCAAUCUACCCUUAAGCGGGGGAUAACACCUGGAAACAGGUGCUAAUACCGCAUAAAACUAAGGACGCCUGUUCUAAAGUUAAAAGACGGUGAGAGCUGUCACUUAAGGAUGAGCCUGCGGCGUAUUAGCUAGUUGGCAAGGUAAGAGCUUACCAAGGCGAUGAUACGUAGCCGACCUGAGAGGGUAAUCGGCCACAUUGGGACUGAGACACGGCCCAAACUCCUACGGGAGGCAGCAGUAGGGAAUCUUCCACAAUGGACGCAAGUCUGAUGGAGCAACGCCGCGUGGAUGAAGAAGGUCUUCGGAUCGUAAAAUCCUGUUGUUGAAGAAGAACGUAUGUGAGAGUAACUGCUCAGAUAGUGACGGUAUUCAACCAGAAAGUCACGGCUAACUACGUGCCAGCAGCCGCGGUAAUACGUAGGUGGCAAGCGUUG
RNAcentral lists this non-coding RNA (572 nucleotides) under Bombilactobacillus mellifer. Its description in RNAcentral is "Lactobacillus mellifer Bacterial small subunit ribosomal RNA". It matches the Rfam family "Bacterial small subunit ribosomal RNA", at positions 1 to 543 of the family's 1533-position model. The record is from Rfam by way of RNAcentral. Lineage: Bacteria; Bacillati; Bacillota; Bacilli; Lactobacillales; Lactobacillaceae.